Molecule: long non-coding RNA, 1186 nt
Filed under: Ursus maritimus (polar bear)
Lineage: Eukaryota; Metazoa; Chordata; Mammalia; Carnivora; Ursidae
Description: lncRNA (ENSUMAG00000017574.1)
Source: RNAcentral
CAACGAGUUAUACUAAGGUUUGGAAAGUACCAGAAGGGAGUGGCAUAUAAGUUACUACAGGAAUAUAGAAGAGGGGGUGUCAGAAACAGGGUCGCAUCCGAGCUAGAGGCUGAAGGUUGAGCAGAAGUUGGACAAGCUCAGGAUGGAUGCGGGUGGCCGUGCGAGGCAGAGAGAACAGCAGGAGUAUGGGCCUGAAGGUGAGGCUGCCCAGGGGAGGCUGGCACCAGCUUGGGACAGGCCUUUCAGCAGGGCGGUGGCAGGAGCAGCUCUGGGUCUUUGGAACAAGAGGAUGGAAUGGAGGGGGCCGAGGUUAAGGCCCCAGGGAACAGCUGGGAGGCAGCGGCCAGAGUUCCUGUGAGUCCAGGUCUGUUACAUUUCCCAGAAUGGUUCCCAGCGCUGGAGAUAAUUCCUUUUCGGAGAACCUACAUUUCUCACCUGCUGAUUGCAAUUAGCCACUGCCAGCUGGGGCCUGGUGUGCAGCUGAAAAGCUAACAAGAAGCGGAGACCACGCGGAACCCAGACAGGGCAGAGGAUGUGAAUGAAUAAGGGAUAGGGCCCAUGUGUUGGAGCUGCUCCCGUGAAUCCGAGGUUUCCCGACCCUCUGGAUGGCCCUCCCUCCUCCGGCUGUGUGCUCCCCACCCCUCCCCUUCACUACUUUUUUUUUUUUGUCUCUGGCUUUGUAGCCUACACUUAACAUCACAGGCACGAAUUUACCACUAAGUACAUUUUGUUAGGCAAUAAACAGCCUCGGAAGAAAAAUGAAAUCGGACUAGGGCUUCUGCUCCAAUCAUGUUUGUGAGCUGUGGUGGAAUCAGGCGGGCCCUGCGUGCAGGCCUUGGAACUAACCUUGAAUAUGAGGACUGGCAGGGCCUGGAGAGGCCUUGCGGACCACCGGAUCCGAACCCCUCGUCUUAUGGAUGAGGACAUGGAAUCCCAGAGGAAGGGGAGCAUGACUCAUCCGAAGUCUUGGAGGAGGUCACAGGGCUGGCUGAAGUCCACGUCUCCUGACCUCCAGCCCAGGGCUCUAACCACUGAACUGCCUUGCCUUUGCCCGUCCUCUCGAGUUUGUGAGGAAAGCACCAAGGAGAUCGCCAAGGGUUGGAAGUGUUUUCUGAACAACUCUCGGGAUCCGGUUUUCGAGCCAGCAAAUGAACUGGCGCUCGUCAUCCAUCUUCAUCACCAUUAG